Pan troglodytes (chimpanzee) is the source of this 6155-nucleotide long non-coding RNA. RefSeq lists it as uncharacterized. The record is from RefSeq and is a predicted model, not a curated record. The transcript is spliced from 5 exons. NCBI's taxonomy places the organism in Eukaryota, Metazoa, Chordata, Mammalia, Primates, Hominidae.
GAUCGAUAUCUUGGUAAAAUAUUCAUUUUUAAACUAGCGGGCAGUGAAAUCUUUGCUUUGUGUGCUAAAGUCAACAGUCGCUUGGUUUGAGCUCAAAUAAAUGCGGGGAUGCCUCGGCUCGGAGCAGUCGGCCUCCUCCCUCCGCGAGCUGGACGCUCCGCAGCCCGCCCGCCCGCCGGCCCGCCGGCCGCCGCAGGAACCCCUGGAUAAAGACCAGCUCAACCAUCGCUGAGAAAACAGACCUAGGCUUCCCAGGGCGGUUAACCCGCCGGCCUCUGGGCAGAGACUAAAAGACAAAACAAAAUAAAACAACAACAAAAAACUCCCAGUGUGUUUCCUACUCUUCUUUUUCUUGGAGGAAAGCAAAGGGAGAGAAAUGGACUUCACCAGUGGUCUUUGGCUUCAUCAAUUCACAGGAAAUGGCAUCAAGAUGGUUCAACUAAGACAUGAUCACUAAAAACAUUAUAAUAAUACCUUUUUGAAAAACUCAGUUUCUCCUGUUUACUAAAUAUUUAUUUCAUCAACAUGGGCUGCAUUCCACUGUGUCAGGAUUCUGCAUGUGGGUGGAGCACUGUUCCGGCCUGAGAAGAUGGUUCUGAGGCCACUUAGCAAGACAUUUUCCAGCAUGAGCAGGUUUCUCUGUGGAAAUAGUGACACCUGUUCUGGUGUGUUGUCUUUCCUCAGGGAACUUAAGGGGUACUAAGCUCCUGAAAAUGUUCUUUAUGCUGGUUGAAGCUCUUAUGUCACUGUACUGAUUCCCUACGAUGCAGAUUUGAAUCACAGAGUAAUUAAAAUAUGGAUCAAAUAAGGCUGGGGUUCACCAAGGCUGAAAGCUGUAGCCAUUCAAGGCAUCAUUUCUGUCAUGAAAAUAUAGGACCUUUUCAAAACAUGCCUUCAGGAAGGUGUUCCCUUUUCAAACAAAAGUCUAAUGACUGCAUAACUCUUCUUGACCACAUCUUACACUUUCUCUAGACUUGCUUAUUUACAGCUACUGGAACAAAAAGAUGAAAUGAAUAAAGCACACUGAUUGUCCUAAGAGUCUUCUGUGACUAAAAGCACAUGAGCUUCUCCCCAGGCUGAGCUUUGACCCUCCCAAGCAUUUCCCCAAAGGCCAUGACACUGCAUCAGAUUGCUCCUGGACACUUUCCUCAGAGUUUUCAACAAAUAUAAACUGAGGAAUGGAGCACAGCACCAGAUUUGCUAAUCAAGAGGCAAUGGUCCCAGUCCAAAUGGGUGCUGUGUGUGAAUACAGAGCUCAGGAGAAGGGAAGGAGGUGUGUGAACAUCAGGAAUUGCAAAAUCUUGCUGAACCAAUAGACCAACAGCCAUUAACAUUUAUCAAUGCAAAGAUUCUAAAAUAUACAAGUGUGGAGUUGUCCUGCCCUAAGAGCUGAAGCUGUGACAAUCACGCUGCCAUGGUAGAUAUUUAAGCUCCCCUGAGGUUACUGAAUCUAACAAUGAAUAAACAAUGAAGAGUAGCUAAUUUUUGGAAAUCUCUUUCUAUGACCGGAAAAUAUUCACAAACUCAGAGUGAUUGUUUGGGGUGAAAGAUGGUCCCAUGCUUUGUGGGCCUCUCUUUGCUAUCUAUACAACGUUGGAAAUGAACCCCUCCCUUACAGGAAAGUGAAUAGCAACCAAGGUGAGCCCACCCUGGGAGGGCAGAGUGGGUGUACUUUCCUCUAAGAGCCCUGAAAACAACAGGGCACACAAACAGCCACAGCACCCUCAACAAUGCCCCACCAUCUGCCCACCAGGGCACACAGAUUCACGCAGAUUCAGUGACACAUUCCAAAAAAAGGGAAUUAGGGAGGACCCAUGGCAUGGCUAAUGGGGAGAGAGCUUUACUACUUUUAGCGCUAUUGCUAAUUAUUGGAGCAAAGAAAGGCAUACAAGGAAUGGAACCCAACCUGUUUAAAGUAAUAAAUGUCAACCCUAAAGUGCAUGGAACCAUCUCUCCUUCCCUUUUGAGGACUGUGUGCUUCACAAGCUGGGCGUUUGCUGCAUGGGGUUUUCUAAUGUAAUGUGAAUUUUCAAUGUGCUUUGUCUCUGUAGAGUGGCUUUAAAAAGCCCUUGAAGUCCUCAGCUUUAAAUCCAUGCUAAUAGGGGAAGUCUUUUUUUUUUUUUUGGAGGUGAGGAGCUUUGGUUGGGAGAAACAUUGACCCAGACUGCACUCUGGGUAAACUAGGGCAAAAGACCUGAUAUCGUCUGCAGGGUACUUAUUAACCACUGUUCAUUUGCAGGAUCAAUAUUUCCAGCAAAGGAGUCAACACUCAAGAUACACUGCUACGUCUCACUUUUUCCUUGACACAACAAUUUAUUUUAUAAAUGCAUCUGCUGGAGAAGAAAAGGCAGUACCAAGGAUUGUGUCUUUUAUCUCCAGGAUAUGCAAAGCGCAUUUAUUUUCAGCUUUUAUCUCUGGAAUUGUAUGUUGAUCCCAUACAUAUAGAUUGAUUUUGUUCAGGUAGAUAAUGAAAAGUCAAGUGGAAAAUUACACAAUGGCAUUCACGAUCCUAGUCUUAUAUCGGUAUAUAAAUUGGUUUAUUAUUUCAUUCUUUUAAAGAGGCUUUUUUUUGGUACCAGGAAAACUUCAAAAUGCAUUGUGUUGUCAGCCUCACUGAAUUUUCUUUUGGAGGAGGAGGUAGGGAGGGGAAGCCAAAGCCCCGAUUUCUCCUGCUCCUUUUGCUAAUUGUAUUGGCUAAAUGAGUUUUCACAGAGGGGGGUCCUGGCUGCUUUUUGCUCUCCCCCAGACCACUUGUAGGUUGCACACAGGGCUUCUAUAACUCUUUCUGAGUCAGGACAAAGAUAUCCGCCGUGCACACCCUGUGACAUAGGUGGAUAUUUAUUUCAUCCCGGGCAAUUCUAAAUUUUGUCAUGAUGACUGAAAGAGGCAAUCCCCUCCUGAGCAUUAAGAGGCCAGGGGUGAGAGGGUGGCAGCAUAGAAAAGCCACCACCCAGAGACAGCUUGGAGCCAUGAUCCUGGAGGAAAUGUUAUUAAUAAACAUCUUUUGGACAUUUGGUAGCCCGUGGAGCUUGCUCCAGCUUAAAGCAAUUAAUUCAGGACACUGACAUAAACUCUCCAGAUCUUUGACAGCUUGGAGCCGAAAUAAAAAUGCUAGUUCUCCGGGGAAGAGAAGAGGAUGGCUAGCCCUUUUCUGGACUGUUUGCUUAUAGGCCCAGAGAGCAACCUUCCUUGCAGAAUGAAAUGCAAGGGCACAAACAAUGUACCAGGGAGAGAAUAGAAGAUGGGAAUGAACAGUUUGAACUAUUUGCUCAGCAGAAGGGCACCACAAUGCUGGGGUAGUGGUUUUCCCAUGCGUCCACUGUCCCUUCUUUGGGAUCUUUUGUUGUCCCCUGUCUCCUUUGGCCAGAUAAGAGCACAGCUGCAGCAUUGCAGCUAACAAGUAGGCCGUACUUAUCCCCCUAAAUCUCGGGGUGCCUUUACUGUAACAAGUUAUGCUCGGCUCUCUUUUAUUUUACAAGAGGAUGGUGAGGGAGAGAAUGGAAGAACAGAGGGGGCGGACGUAUAAGACAUUUGACACUGCCUAUGUCUGAUUUCUCUUUCUUUCUUUCUUUCUUUCUUUCUUUCUUUCUUUCUUUCUUUCUUUCUUUCUUCUUUCUUUCUUCUUUCCUUCCUUCCUUCCUUCCUUCCUUCCUUUCUUUCUUUCUUUCUUUCUUUCUUUCUUUCUUUCUUUCUUUCUUUCUUUCUUUCUUUCUUUCUUUCUUUCUUGCAAGCUGUGAUCGGAUGCAAUCUUUGUGGGGCAUUUAAAUGGAAGGGUUCAUUGAUGUGUAUUGCUUGCCAAGCCAAAAUGUUGCCUUUGGGGAAAAGGGAGAGAGGUGUUCAUGGAGUGCAGGGAAAGGAGGUUUUGGGGCAGAGAUUUUGAUUUAAAAUAACCAGACUUCUUCUGGCUGAUGAAAAGAGGCAAAAGUUUUAAAUUGUCAAGUUUAAAACUAUGUUCAGUUAUGAUUUGCCACUUCUGAAUAUUAUUUUGGAUUUCCCCUUUCAUGCUUAUUUUGUUCAGAAUCCUAAUGAAUAGAGGUUGCUGGACUCAGGGUAAAAGCAGGAUGAACUGGAGAUGGGACAUACAAGGUACUUUUGUAAUUGCCAUAGAUUACACCUAUAAUCAGAGUAAAUGUCAUCAACAAAUAAUCAAAACAUUUUUUACAUUUGCUCUUCUAAAAUCAGAGCCUAUUUUAAAUAUAAAAGAAAGUAGAUGUGAUAAUAAUAUAAACUACAAUUACAUUAAGUUGAUAUUAAAGUCAAAAUCUAACGUAGAUUUGCACUGUUGGGUGUGUGUUCCGAAUCAGUGGGUUUUCCCACUGAUGUUGAUUUCGGGAGCCAGGCUUCAAUGUUUAAUUCUAUUGUAAUGUGGUUAUUUAGCCUGAAUGGUUUUAUAAGGUGAAAAGGCAAAAAAUUUAAUUCCGAAGAAAACUAGUGUUUUACUAUGACUGUGGUAAACAUUUCCGAAGCCCACCUGUGGGAAAUACAAAGUUUUAAUGCUGUGUGUUUUUUUGUUUUUGUAUUUUGUCUCAUCGACAAAACUGGCAGAAAAAAAUGCUUUCGCAUAUUUUUCCUGCUGGGUGGUCAGAAGGAAAGGCCGUGAAGCUAAAUGUCUCCCAUUGAGACGCUGUUCUGCAAAGAGCCGACCUCACGUGCCGCCGCCAGAGAAGAGAGCACCUGUUUAUCAAGGCUCACUGUGAGGCUGAGCUCAGCGCUGGCAGGCGAGGGGCCGCAAGCAUCCCCCACAGCCACCGAGAGGGCAUCCCUGCAGGGAAAUCAUAUCCGACAUGCCUGUGCCCACACCAGACUUAAGACUGCCUCUAAAAUGUCCAUGAAGCCAUUGUCCAGUAGAGCUGUUAGUUUUAACACCAGUUCAUAGGUGGAAGGAACUUGCCUUGUCUCAGAUGAGACUUUGGACUGUGGAUUUCUAAGUUAAUGCUGAAAUGAGUUAAGACUUUUGGGGACUGCUGGGAAGGUAUGAUUAGUUUUGAAAUGUAAGGAUGUAAGAUUUGGGAGGGGCCGGGGUGGAAUGAUAUGGUUUGGCUGUGUCCCCACCCAAAUUUAAUCUUGAAUUCCCACGUGUUGUGGAAGGGACUCGAUGGGAGGCAAUUGAAUCAUGGGGCAAGUCUUUCCUGUGCUGUUCUCGUGAUAGUGAGUAAGUCUCAUGACAACUGAUGGUUUUAAUAAGAGGAAUUCCCCUGCACUAACUCUCUUUCUUUUCUUGUCUGCUGCCAUGUGAGAUGUGCUGUUCACCUUCUGCCAUGAUUGUGAGGCGUCCCCAGACACAUGGAACUGUAAGUCCAUUAAACCUUUAUUUCUUCCCAGUCUCAGGUAUGUCUUUAUCAGCAGCAUGAAAAUGGACUAAUAUAGCACCUCUGCUGACAGCUAUAGGACCAAGGACUGUAGACCCAAAUGCAGCAGGUAACCUUCCCUCUGGCUGAGCCUUGGACCAUCUUGUGUCCUGCCUCUGCUCUACUUCUGGAACCUUCUGUAUCACACCUGCCUGUCAUUUCUUGUUAGGUGUGCACACUGUUCCUUUACUCCUGCCCCAGGGAAGUGUGCCUGAGUUCUUCUUUUGUUGACCACCUGGGCUGAGGAUCAAUGCUGCCACCAGCUGUGGGCAUGUCUGGAAUUUUCCCUGGAAUCCACGGACAAAUACACUUGUUCAGUUUUUAAUUUAUUUUAAAUUUUUAUUUGUGCUCCUCCACAGCCACACGUAUUUUCCUGUCAUGAAGAUUUUCUUUAAUAAAGCUGCAAGUUUUGGGGAAAGUAUGUGUGAUGACUGGGAACUGAUUCCCGAAGGCUAGCUGCAAACCACGACUGGGAAAGAAGCAGGAUGGGCCCAGACUUUGCAGUGGCUGCUGUCCACCAGAACAUUCAGGUUCAGAAGGGUCGUGGGGGUCCCCGAGCCUGCUGAAAGAUGAGGCCCAGUCCUGGCUCCACUCAACUUACCGCAUCCAUGCUUCAUUGCUCCUCAAAGCACUCACGACUCUGAUAUUUUGCUUCUAUAUUUGCUUCUUAUUUGUCUCCCAUCACUAGGAUGAAAUCUUCCAGAGAGCAAUGGUUUUCUCUGUCUUAUUCACUGUUGUAAAUAGUGCCUGGCACAUAGUAGGCACUGAAUAAAUAUUUGUUGAAUCAAUGCAUGAAUGAAACUUCAA